Oncorhynchus gorbuscha (pink salmon) is the source of this 461-nucleotide long non-coding RNA. RefSeq lists it as uncharacterized. The record is from RefSeq and is a predicted model, not a curated record. The transcript has 4 exons. NCBI's taxonomy places the organism in Eukaryota, Metazoa, Chordata, Actinopteri, Salmoniformes, Salmonidae.
GGAGUAACAACCGAACCUAUAGUGGAGAAUUCGUACGGACUGCUCUCUGGUAUACAUUCCCCUUACUCCCUCUCCUCAAACAUUUUUUUUGAGGGGUUGAGGCCUGUAUGAGGCUUAACUGCCAUUUCUGGAGCAACCACCAGAUGGCAACAGACAAGGACUUAUUGUAGGAGAAAAGGAGUUUUGGGUUUCCCAGCAAGGGUUCCGGCUAUUGGUUCUUUACCAUGGCAGUGCCAGUACACAAUCGUUUCCAGGCUCUAGUUAACCUACAUGAUCAGGGUAUGGUAAGACAGGUGAAUAAAUUGGCGGCCUUUAUUAAACCCUCCUCGCCCAACCAACAGACUCUGGCAAAGGCUAAAUCCAGUUAUGCGGCUGCAGUGACUAGCAAGUCACCGACUGGCAGGGCCUUAAUGGGAGCCAAGGCCCAUAGGGACUCUGGAAUAUGCAGGAAUACUCCAGGG